UACAGAGGUCCCGAGCGUUUGUUCGGAUUCAUUGGGCGUAAAGGGUGCGUAGGUGGCGCUGUAAGUGGGGUGUGAAAUCCCGGGGCUUAACCCCGGGACUGCAUUCCAUACUGCGGUGCUUGAGGACUGGAGAGGAGACUGGAAUUUACGGUGUAGCAGUGAAAUGCGUAGAGAUCAAGUGGAACACCAGUGGCGAAGGCGAAAUCCCUGGAAAAUACCUGACACUGAGGACACGAAAGCUAGGGGAGCAAACAGG
RNAcentral lists this ribosomal RNA (256 nucleotides) under uncultured bacterium. RNAcentral's name for it is "partial 16S ribosomal RNA". It matches the Rfam family "Bacterial small subunit ribosomal RNA", at positions 524 to 776 of the family's 1533-position model. The record is from RNAcentral.